UCCUUUGGCCAUAGAAACCCUAAAUGUGCCAGAUCUCAUCAGCUCUCUGAAGCUAAGCAGGCUUUAGCCUUGCUAGUACAGUACUUGGAUCAGUAACCGCUUGGGCAUGCCAGGUGCUGUAGGCA
Molecule: ribosomal RNA, 125 nt
Filed under: Petromyzon marinus (sea lamprey)
Lineage: Eukaryota; Metazoa; Chordata; Hyperoartia; Petromyzontiformes; Petromyzontidae
Source: RNAcentral